This 418-nucleotide ribosomal RNA is filed under the name Aoraki denticulata. RNAcentral describes it as "partial 16S ribosomal RNA". The stretch from base 280 to 418 matches the Rfam family "Bacterial large subunit ribosomal RNA", at positions 2473 to 2612 of the family's 2925-position model. Lineage: Eukaryota; Metazoa; Arthropoda; Arachnida; Opiliones; Pettalidae. The record is from RNAcentral.
UAAAUUGUUCAUUAAUUGUGAACUGGAAUGAAGGAAAUAAUGGUUCAAGUCUGUCUUGAAAUACUAUAUAUUGAAUUUAAAUUUUUUGUAAAAUACAAAAAUAAUUUUUAGGGACAAGAAGACCCUAUAAAGCUUAUGUGAUUUUAGCUAUGUGUAUUGUAAAAAUAAUUUAAUUGGGGCAAUGAUUUAUGUAUAAAAGAUAUAAAUUUAACUGGGAUAAUAAUAUAUGUAAUAUAAUUUUGAUCCAUUAUUAAUGAAAAAUGCUAAAUUUACUUUAGGGAUAACAGGUUAAUUUUUAUUAGAAAGUUCUUAUUGAUAAUAAAGUUUAUUACCUCGAUGCUGAAUUAAUUUAAUUUAAUGGUGAAGUAACUUUUGAGUUUGACUGUGCGUCAAUUAAAUAAAUACAUGAUCUGAGUUC